Long non-coding RNA from Pelodiscus sinensis (Chinese soft-shelled turtle), 914 nucleotides. RefSeq lists it as uncharacterized. NCBI's taxonomy places the organism in Eukaryota, Metazoa, Chordata, Testudines, Trionychidae. The record is from RefSeq and is a predicted model, not a curated record.
CCAGGGUCGGGCUCCAAGGUGAAAGAAAAGGAAUUUAUACAGGUGUCAACUCUAGCUUUGAUUAUCUCCAAGUUGAAGGUAAUUCCACAACCUCUUAUAUCCAGACCUAACAACACACUCAGAAAGUGCCCCCCAACAUGACCAGCUCUAGUGACAUCUCCCUCAGUGCCAGUAUGGCCCUGAGUUUGAGCAUUUCAUCCUGGAGAGAAUUCUGCAAAGUGUAACCAAUGUGACUAAGGGACUGGUAUCACUGACAUCGGAGGAAAGAUUAAAAAGCACAAAAUUAUGUAGUUAGCCAGACAGUGACUAAGGGAACCCCUGGUAAUAGUCUACAAGCAUUUAAAGAGUGCGCAAACAGCCCAGAGAGAGGGAAAACUCUUCAGACUGUUCAUCACAGACGAUUUGGGGAGGAGCAGUGCCAGGAUACAGGAAGAUAGCCAUCACUACUGCUCCAGUGCUCCUUGGUGCAUUUGCAGGGAGGUGAGCUAAAUGUUUUUCAAAGGUUUACUUCAGCCUCCACUCCCCAUCCUCUUGACAAGUGAGGAAACUGUAAAGAAAAGAGAGGAGUCACAAGGAAAUGUUCAGGUCUCUGCUAAGAAUUUCUGCACUGCGUUGGAACCGAGUAGCUUAAUAGGGUCUAUCUGAGGUAACUUUGAUUCUUAAAAUCAUGAUGAUUUGUGAUUGGAAAGGCUCAUUAUGCAACUAGUGGAUUUUCUGUAACUUGAAGUAUUUUAAUCAAUAUUUGAGGACUUCAGUAACUCAGCCAAAGGUUAUGGGUCUAUUGCAUGCAGUGCUUUUUUUGUGACGGUACUGCCCGGCAUGUAGUACCGACACCUCCAGAUGCACUACCAGCACCUCCUAUCAGAGCUCAACAACUUUUCCCCUGGAGUACUGGCACCUUUUUUUUUUUUAAC